This 375-nucleotide ribosomal RNA is filed under the name uncultured bacterium. Its description in RNAcentral is "bacterial SSU rRNA". It matches the Rfam family "Bacterial small subunit ribosomal RNA", at positions 521 to 896 of the family's 1533-position model. The record is from RNAcentral.
UAAUACGUAGGGUGCAAGCGUUAAUCGGAAUUACUGGGCGUAAAGCGUGCGCAGGCGGUUUUGUAAGUCUGACGUGAAAUCCCCGGGCUCAACCUGGGAAUUGCGUUGGAGACUGCAAGGCUAGAAUCUGGCAGAGGGGGGUAGAAUUCCACGUGUAGCAGUGAAAUGCGUAGAGAUGUGGAGGAACACCGAUGGCGAAGGCAGCCCCCUGGGUCAAGAUUGACGCUCAUGCACGAAAGCGUGGGGAGCAAACAGGAUUAGAUACCCUGGUAGUCCACGCCCUAAACGAUGUCUACUAGUUGUCGGGUCUUAAUUGACUUGGUAACGCAGCUAACGCGUGAAGUAGACCGCCUGGGGAGUACGGUCGCAAGAUUA